AUGCUUUUGGACGCCAUGAUGAUGGAGGCCAGGAAGGGGUUAAUGGAGAGGGACCAGUUCCCCGCCGGCAUGCGGGUCCUCGCCGUCGACGAUGACCCCGUGUGCCUCAAGGUUCUGGAGGUCCUCCUACGCCGCUGCCAGUAUCAUGUGACAACCACCAACCAGGCUGCUACUGCACUGAGGCUGUUAAGGGAGAACAAGGACAUGUUUGAUCUGGUCAUCAGCGACGUCCACAUGCCCGACAUGGACGGCUUCAAGCUCCUCGAGCUCGUGGGGCUCGAAAUGGAUCUCCCUGUCAUCAUGUUAUCGGUGAACGGAGAGACAAAAACUGUACUGAAGGGGAUAACUCAUGGUGCCUGUGACUAUCUCCUAAAACCAGUUCGCAUCGAAGAGCUCCGGAACGUGUGGCAGCACGUUGUGAGGAGAAAAUUCUGCAACCGUGAGCCGAACAAUCUUGAUUUCUGCAAAGAGAUCAGUAGGGACUCGUACCACCGGCUCGGCCAGGCGACCUGUGACAGGUCGUCUGACCAAAGCAACAGGGCCAGCAAGAAGAGGAAGGAGCCGCACUGCGAGGAGGAAGAUGAAGGCGAGGACAACGACGAUGCCUCGGCGGCGUCGAAAAAGCCGAGGGUGGUGUGGUCAGUGGAGCUGCACCGGAAGUUCGUAGCUGCCGUCAACCAGCUCGGGAUCGACAAGGCUGUACCUAAAAGAAUACUCGAGCUUAUGAACGUGGAGAAGCUCACCAGGGAAAAUGUUGCGAGUCAUCUGCAGAAGUACAGGCUAUACCUCAGACGGCUAAGUGCUGUGGCAUCACAACAAGCCAGCGUUGCUGCUGCUUUUGGAGGCAGAGACCCCUUCUUGCACAUGGGAGCAUUUGAAGGACUUCAUAGUUAUCAUCAACCCUUUGGCCCUUCUGCUGCUCCUCCAUCUUUCAAUCCGCAUGGACUGCUGAGUGGUGCUGGUGCAACAACAUUUGGGCUUCAGGACCUUGCUUCUCCCAAGGGAAUUCACUGUGCUGGCAACAAUGGCGAAGUAAGCUUACAAGGCAAUAAACACGCAGACUUGACGCAAGGCUUGACCGCAUCAUCAUUUGGGCAGCCCCGGCUCCAGCAGGAGUGGAUCCAUCAAGAAACCAAUGAUCUGUGCUCUGUCUUUUCUGGAGGUGCUCUGGCCAACACUAUGCGUGGCACAUUCCAGAGAAUUACAAGCAGUUCACUGCCACCAGAAGAUCUUUUGGAGUGCACUCCACAUAUCAAAGUUGGAGCCCAUCCAUCAGUAGGAAUACAAAAUGCAAGUUCAGGAUUGCUUGAAAGGUCUCAGCAGGGUGCUCUUCCAGUUGGUGAUGGAUUUUCUGUCGACAAGUUACCGUUGCACAUCUCGUUCGAUGGUGCUAUCGCGACAAAGCUGGAUGCUAGCUUUGUCACUGAAGAACAAGGGAUGGACCAAAAGGGGAUAUUUUCAGAAAGAAUGACUGUUGGUGUUUGCCCUUCUGAGAGCCUCAUAGCAGCUAGCAGCGGCAGAUGUGGAGCUAGUUCUUCUGGUAGUACAAGGCUGCUCCCUCCUCAUGAUACCGACAGACAUUCGAAAUACCUCCAGUUUGGAGUUGCAAGCAACUCUAGACAUAGAAUGGAUGGUGGAAUGAGACAAGACCAAAGACUGAACAAUGGUGAUUUUAGCUACGAUGGUGGUGCCAUUGUGCCUGAACAGACUGAUGUGUAUGAUUUGGGAAUUUCAAAGCUGCAGGGUCAGGGUGCGUUAAAUUCUAGCAGCUGCAACUUUGAUGGCCUUCUCAAUUCCAUAGUAAAAGUGGAGAACCGACAUGUCAUGACGAUACUCCCCCUCUAG
This 1845-nucleotide ribosomal RNA is filed under the name Triticum aestivum (bread wheat). RNAcentral's name for it is "partial small subunit ribosomal RNA". Lineage: Eukaryota; Viridiplantae; Streptophyta; Magnoliopsida; Poales; Poaceae. The record is from RNAcentral.